GGCCCGUUGGUCUAGGAGCAUGAUUCUCGCUUUGGGUGCGAGAGGUCCCGGGUUCAAAUCCCGGACGGGCCC
Non-coding RNA from Ciona savignyi (Pacific transparent sea squirt), 72 nucleotides. Lineage: Eukaryota; Metazoa; Chordata; Ascidiacea; Phlebobranchia; Cionidae. The record is from Rfam.